Molecule: ribosomal RNA, 117 nt
Organism: Danio rerio (zebrafish)
Lineage: Eukaryota; Metazoa; Chordata; Actinopteri; Cypriniformes; Danionidae
Source: Ensembl
AUCCACAGGCGUAUCACCCUGCAGCCCAAGACUGGUUACUCACUGAAGCAAAGCAGGGCUGAGCCUGGUCAGUACCUAGAUGGGUGACCACAUGGUAAAACUAGGUUGCUGUUGUAA